AGUCACUGACAUUAGAUACCCGCGUAGUCCCAGCCGUAAACAAUGUGCGUUAGGUGUGUCGGUAACCACGCGUUACUGAUGCGCCGAAGAGAAAUCGUGAAACGCACCACCUGGGAAGUACGGUCGCAAGGCUGAAACUUAAAGGAAUUGGCGGGGAGCACCGCAACAGGUGGAGCCUGCGGUUUAAUUGGAUUCAACGCCGGACAUCUCACCGGAUAAGACAGCUGAAUGAUUGUCAAUCUGAAGGUUUUACAUGACUAGCUG
Molecule: ribosomal RNA, 264 nt
Filed under: uncultured archaeon
Lineage: Archaea
Description: partial 16S ribosomal RNA
Rfam family: Archaeal small subunit ribosomal RNA
Source: RNAcentral